Triticum urartu is the source of this 2656-nucleotide non-coding RNA. Lineage: Eukaryota; Viridiplantae; Streptophyta; Magnoliopsida; Poales; Poaceae. The record is from RefSeq and is a predicted model, not a curated record.
GUUACAUGGCUUCAGAUGCUUUACAUUUUUGAGCUGCCAAGACAAAUUAGAACAUUACUUGAGGCCUCUUUAGAGCAUCUCUAGGAGACCCCUUAAAAAUUGACCCUUAAAAACGCAUAUAAGGGGCACAGUAAACUAUUUUUACGGUGCGAAAUUGCCCUGGACAGAGCAUACCCCGUAGAUAAAACUGUAUCCCACUGUAGCUCAUAUUUUUUCUUUUAUUUCCUUCUUCCUCCCUCCCGGCAGAGCCCGUCUCCGGCCACAGCAUGCCUCGCCCUGGCACCUCUGCUCGCCCCAGCGCCGCCCGCCUUGCCCCCGCGCCGCCUGCCCCGACCGCGAGUUCCCUGGCGUGCCUUCCUGUCCCCAAUUGAGCCCGACACCGGCCACCACUGCGCGCGCUCCCCGGCGUGGCUGCGUGAGCUCCCCAGCGCCCCCUGCCACUACGUGCGACCCGCCCACCCUCCUGCCGCCCUUCUCCGGCGCCGCCCCUCCCCGAUUCGGGCCGCCGGUGGCCUGCUCCGCCCUACCCGUGGACAGCCUCGCCUCGACAGUGGAGGUCGAGCCGGCCGCAAUUCGGACCAGCGGCGGCAAAUUCCGGCGUGCGGCGGCUUCUUCCGACGUGCGGCGACGGAUACCGGUGCUAUGUGAUUGGCUCAAGAUGAUUCAGCUAUCAUCACAUUUUCUAGAACGGUGCAGUGUGUAAUAUAGAAUUGUGCCAACAGUUCCGUGUGAUUUUGUUUUGACACCAGUUAGCAAAGCAGCAAGGCCAUCAUAAAUGUGGUCAUGCGAUGUUGGCUAUAACAGAGGCAAUGAUUUGAACUGGAUAUCGGUGGGUCGACAUGCAGUUAGUGCAUCGGGGUCCUUGUGGAGGCCAAAGUGGUUAGAUGAUUUGCGACGUACGUAGUACGAUAGGCAGUGGUGCCAUGUUGGGCAGAAGCAUUAUUCAGACAAUUACUCAAGUUUGAGCUUUCGUCAACACGGAGGGGACAUUUAGGACAGCGUCAGCUGGAGAGCCACCAUCAAGUGGGUUCCUUGGGAUGUUUCGUGCGACCUUCCGAAGCUUACAACAUGUCCAUGGCCGUGGUACUGAGUACUGAUCCGUGCGGUAGCUGAAAGACAUGAGGGCAGGGGAGCAUUGUAGGGCCUAGAGAGUUAAGAAGCAGCUUCCUUUGUUACGCAUUAAUUUGGUUAGGAAGGUCUUGGUUGGUUCAAGCAGCUUGGUGGACAAUUCAAUACGGCUGUUGUACCUUGUGGCCCGGCCAAAUUGAUUUCCAGCACCAAUUCUGUUAGGAAGGUCUUGGUUGUGACGCGGCGCCCUCAUUUCCUUGCUUCUUCCUGCCAUCCCUAACAGGCCUACAGAAAUAGUGCAGCUAACCUGGUUAUCAUCUCAACCAAAUUCGUGGACAACUGGAGAUCAUUUGGUACUAGCGCCAAUUCUUUUGUCAAUCGUUUGAUCUCAUUUUGUGCUGAAACAGGCUUCUUGAUGGCAUCUAGUGACGCACUUAGCGAAUUCGUUACGGUCAUGUAAAGCAGAAUUACGCUGAAGCAGCUGUGUGGUGACGGAGGAUUUCCCAUGGCUGCAGGCUAUUACCUAUCAGACAGCAUGUCUGUUCGGUGUAAGCUGGGGAGGGGUCUGAUUCUGGGAGAAUCUUGCAAAAGAACUGGCCCAUGAUCCUUUUACACAUUGAUAUGCUGACGUGAUAGUAAUCACAUGAGCCAUGAACUAAGAUGAUUGACAGCUCUGGAGCACACAUCUGAUCAGCAGAGCAUACAGGUGCAACCUUGCAAGCACACUCUUGACCAAAUACUGCUCCUGGAUGCAAAGGUAUUUUCGUUACCCAUUAAUACCUAGCUAGCCAGGCCGACUCGGCCGACGUCGGCGCUCACCGGCGGAAUCAAUCAUUGGUGAUCUCCGGUGGAUUUAAUCCACAAGAUACAUCAGCGUGCAGCUCAUCUUAUGGCCAUCGAAGCACAUCCUACUGAGAGCACCUCAACCGGCUGAUGGAUCAGAGAGCACGACACAACCGGACUUGAGGUUGAUUGAAAUCUGAGAUCUGAAAUAAGAAUAUACGGUCCCUUUGAGGAGAUGGGUCUCAUCGUUUGCUGACAUUAAUUCUGUGAACGGAAGAAUAUUUGUGUGGUCUAUGGUUGUCACUGGAGGCAUGCGGCUUAGGGCGUCUAGAACGGAAGAAUCAAUUCAGUGGCUUCUGGUGGUCAGUUGAGGGUGGCAACAUCAUGCGUGGUGUGCUUGUCGAUCUCCAACGUAUUCUCACGGUCAUAUGGCCAGCGGCACCCAGCUAGCCGUAAACUGAUUACUGGCAUACUUCUUAAUUACUUCUGCUAGUGGAUAAAUGAUCAAAUGUACCCAGCUGUUGUUUCGUCUUGGGAAAUUGGUAUACCCAGCAAAAGGAACAGUAGCUCCGGUUGCUAAUUUACUGUGUAGAAACUACUAAUUUUAUUAAAGCUAGAGGAUCCUACCUGUUUAGUUGUCGAAGAGUACACUACCUUGCUUCCUUUAUGUUAGUAUCAGUUUACUGAACUUGCUGCUUUAAUUUUCUAUUUGUAAAAGGGCAUAUGCACUUCCCUCUUCAACGAGUGCUUCAUUUUGCUUUGCAGAAGCCGUAUGUGCUUGAUGCUAUAUAAAAAGAAUUUAAUA